GAGGUUAUAGUUCAGUGGUACAGUGUGUGCUUAGCAUGCAUGAGGUUCUGAGUUCAAUCCCCAGUACCUCCA
This 72-nucleotide transfer RNA is filed under the name Camelus dromedarius (Arabian camel). It matches the Rfam family "tRNA". Rfam says of the family: Transfer RNA (tRNA) molecules are approximately 80 nucleotides in length. Their secondary structure includes four short double-helical elements and three loops (D, anti-codon, and T loops). Further hydrogen bonds mediate the characteristic L-shaped molecular structure. tRNAs have two regions of fundamental functional importance: the anti-codon, which is responsible for specific mRNA codon recognition, and the 3' end, to which the tRNAs corresponding amino acid is attached (by aminoacyl-tRNA synthetases). tRNAs cope with the degeneracy of the genetic code in two manners: having more than one tRNA (with a specific anti-codon) for a particular amino acid; and 'wobble' base-pairing, i.e. permitting non-standard base-pairing at the 3rd anti-codon position. RNAcentral also lists the same sequence under 1 other name. The record is from Rfam by way of RNAcentral. Lineage: Eukaryota; Metazoa; Chordata; Mammalia; Artiodactyla; Camelidae.